GACGAACGCUGGCGGCGUGCUUAACACAUGCAAGUCGAACGGAAAGGCCCUGCUUUUGUGGGGUGCUCGAGUGGCGAACGGGUGAGUAACACGUGAGUAACCUGCCCUUGACUUUGGGAUAACUUCAGGAAACUGGGGCUAAUACCGGAUAGGAGCUCCUGCUGCAUGGUGGGGGUUGGAAAGUUUCGGCGGUUGGGGAUGGACUCGCGGCUUAUCAGCUUGUUGGUGGGGUAGUGGCUUACCAAGGCUUUGACGGGUAGCCGGCCUGAGAGGGUGACCGGCGACAUUGGGACUGAGAUACGGCCCAGACUCCAACGGGAGGCAGCAGUGGGGAAUAUUGCACAGUGGGCGGAAGCCUGAUGCAGCAACGCCGCGUGCGGGAUGACGGCCUUCGGGUUGUAAACCGCUUUCGCCUGUGACGAAGCGUGAGUGACGGUAAUGGGUAAAGAAGCACCGGCUAACUACGUG
Molecule: ribosomal RNA, 468 nt
Filed under: uncultured bacterium
Lineage: Bacteria
Description: partial 16S ribosomal RNA
Rfam family: Bacterial small subunit ribosomal RNA
Source: RNAcentral